This 1007-nucleotide ribosomal RNA is filed under the name uncultured Flavobacteriaceae bacterium. RNAcentral's name for it is "bacterial SSU rRNA". It matches the Rfam family "Bacterial small subunit ribosomal RNA", at positions 486 to 1503 of the family's 1533-position model. Lineage: Bacteria; Pseudomonadati; Bacteroidota; Flavobacteriia; Flavobacteriales; Flavobacteriaceae. The record is from RNAcentral.
AUAAGGAUCGGCUAACUCCGUGCCAGCAGCCGCGGUAAUACGGAGGAUCCAAGCGUUAUCCGGAAUCAUUGGGUUUAAAGGGUCCGUAGGCGGGCAGUUAAGUCAGUGGUGAAAGUCUUCCGCUCAACGGGAGAACUGCCAUUGAUACUGAUUGUCUUGAGUUAUUAUGAAGUGGUUAGAAUGAGUAGUGUAGCGGUGAAAUGCAUAGAUAUUACUCAGAAUACCGAUUGCGAAGGCAGAUCACUAAUAAUAUACUGACGCUGAUGGACGAAAGCGUAGGUAGCGAACAGGAUUAGAUACCCUGGUAGUCUACGCCGUAAACGAUGGUUACUAGCUGUUCGGCUCAAUUGAGGGCUGAGUGGUUAAGCGAAAGUGAUAAGUAACCCACCUGGGGAGUACGUUCGCAAGAAUGAAACUCAAAGGAAUUGACGGGGGCCCGCACAAGCGGUGGAGCACGUGGUUUAAUUCGAUGAUACGCGAGGAACCUUACCAGGGCUUAAAUGUAGUCUGACAGGUCUGGAAACAGACUUUUCUUCGGACAGAUUACAAGGUGCUGCAUGGUUGUCGUCAGCCCGUGCCGUGAGGUGUCAGGUUAAGUCCUAUAACGAGCGCAACCCCUGUGGUUAGUUGCCAGCGAGUAAUGUCGGGAACUCUAGCCAGACUGCCGGUGCAAACCGCGAGGAAGGUGGGGAUGACGUCAAAUCAUCACGGCCCUUACGUCCUGGGCCACACACGUGCUACAAUGGUAGGGACAGAGAGCAGCCACUUCGCGAGAAGGAGCGAAUCUACAAACCCUAUCACAGUUCGGAUCGCAGUCUGCAACUCGACUGCGUGAAGCUGGAAUCGCUAGUAAUCGCAUAUCAGCCAUGAUGCGGUGAAUACGUUCCCGGGCCUUGUACACACCGCCCGUCAAGCCAUGGAAGCCGGGGGUACCUGAAGUCGGUCACCGCAAGGAGCCGCCUAGGGUAAAAUUGGUAACUGGGGCUAAGUCGUACCAAGGUAGCCGU